UAAGUAAGUGGUGGAAAUUAAACCAAAUGGGAUAUCUUUAGUAAUUGCGAAUGAACAAGGAUAUGCUUAGCUUGACAAAUGGAGCUAUUGGCUUUGAGUUGUAUUGUGGAAAUGUAUUACCAACAGAGGUGCAGGUGCCAGCCUAUUGAAAUAAAGCGUCAAUGAGGGUGAGAAUCCUGUUUGUCAUGUGCAGCCCUUUGUGCACGGUGUAUAUUUGCUGAGUCACACUCCUUGGCAUUGGAAUGCAAAGUGGGUGGUAAGUUUCAUGUAAAGGUAAACAUGCAAUUGAGACUGAUAGCACACAAGUACCAUGAGGGAAAUAUGAAAAGGACUUUGAAAAGAGAAUUAAAUGAGUUUGUAUUUGCUGAACACAAAGUAAACAGACUUGAUUUGCUUGGUGGGAGUGUUGCACUUGCUUGACAAGAGCUUUGGGCUGUGGGUGUAAUGAUUCUUUCUUUGCAUGCCAGUUUCUAUUUGUACAUCUGAUUACCUUUGCACAUGAAUGAUAAGUCUCCUGUGGGGGGUGGAUUGCAUGUGCAUGUAAUGAUUUGUGUUUUGAUAAAUGUGUCUGGUGUAUGUGUGUGUUCCUGUGCUUGGGGAUGCUUCCUUCCUUGGACUUACAAGCCCUGACACACACAUGCUGGCAAAAUGCUUCUGCUUGACCCG
RNAcentral lists this ribosomal RNA (666 nucleotides) under Alexandrium tamarense. RNAcentral describes it as "eukaryotic LSU rRNA". It matches the Rfam family "Eukaryotic large subunit ribosomal RNA", at positions 43 to 651 of the family's 3401-position model. The record is from RNAcentral. Lineage: Eukaryota; Dinophyceae; Gonyaulacales; Pyrocystaceae.